AUGCCACCAUGUCCUAGUGGACCAGGCGCUGGUGGAUCACGUGGUGGUCUAUCCCGACCAAGGCAAAGGUGCAGGCCAGAGUGUCUUCGGACAACAGACCCGGAAAAAGUGAAUAGGAGUGGGCGAUGGUGUUUAGGAAGCGCCGAAGAAUUGGCGAAAUUUAACGACGCAAAUAUGAAAAAGUAUUGGCGUCAGGCUAUGCAAGAGGAGUUGAGGUCGAUCCACGACAACAAUGCAUGGGAGCUUGUGGAUCUUCCCAACAAUGAAAAGUCUAUAGAGCUCAAGUGGGAAUUCAAGAUCAAGAUAGAUGUCGAAGGUUGUAUGAAGCACAAAGCGAGGUUUGUGGCCAAAGAGUAUGUGCAAGAGAAAGGUAUGGACUUUGAAGAAGUGUUUGUUCCCAUUGCAAAGAUGGAGUCGGUGAGAUUACUCAUCCCUCUCGCGGCUCAGGAAUCAUGA
Molecule: ribosomal RNA, 456 nt
Filed under: Triticum aestivum (bread wheat)
Lineage: Eukaryota; Viridiplantae; Streptophyta; Magnoliopsida; Poales; Poaceae
Description: partial small subunit ribosomal RNA
Source: RNAcentral